Long non-coding RNA from Dendroctonus ponderosae (mountain pine beetle), 630 nucleotides. RefSeq lists it as uncharacterized. The transcript is spliced from 2 exons. The record is from RefSeq and is a predicted model, not a curated record. NCBI's taxonomy places the organism in Eukaryota, Metazoa, Arthropoda, Insecta, Coleoptera, Curculionidae.
UUGCCUGUCAGUUCAUAGAUAAUAUAAACAAAACAAAGUUGUUUUGAUGCACGUGUUUCAUUCUGACCUAUUUCUUACAUUACUUUGUUGCAAAAUGCCGUUUUAAUGUUCCGUUGGCGAUGCCCUUGUCUGCAUCUAUGGCCGGUUGUGAGAAAUCUUCUAAAGAAAUGAAACGCAUUGUUUGUCUGGAUUCUAAGGUUGGAAUAGUACGAGAAGUUGCAUAUAGUUUAGACGAAUAAUAGAAUAUGACACUAGGAAGGGUGUGGCAUGGCGUCUCUCGUAAGGUUGUAGCAGCGUUUGAGUGUAUCUAUGUUUUCCAUUACAGUUAACAAUAAUACGCUGCAUUAAUAAAGAUUUAAUUAAUUUUUUUAAAGACAAAAAUUUUUGAGGCGAAAUACCCUACAAGAAGUUUGUAAAAAAAAAUGCAUUAAUAAGUUGUACAAACGUAUAACUGAUUAUUUUUGCUUGAAUAUUAACGCAUGUGGGUAGUGUUGACUAUUUGUUUGAAACAUGCACCUUUUGCUAUCAAACUUUUGUUUUGCAGAUAAGACAAAAGGGGUGCCAGAUACGCACAAAUACGAAAUGUAUUGCUGUACCAUCUGAGUUUGUCAUAAAAUUAUUUUGAGAAUA